Molecule: long non-coding RNA, 262 nt
Filed under: Elaeis guineensis (African oil palm)
Lineage: Eukaryota; Viridiplantae; Streptophyta; Magnoliopsida; Arecales; Arecaceae
Description: long non-coding RNA (EGUI_LNC044723)
Source: RNAcentral
AAUUACUAAUCGAUCCUCCUACAACACUUGCACUAGGUUAAAUGUCAAUCGUAUUGAUUAUUUAACCCUAGAAUGAUUCUUAAUCGUUGAUCAACCAUCUGAUCGGAUCAUGAACUCUAAUGUGUGUAAUAUCAUAGGUCCAAACCUAAGUCGGUAUCAUAAAAAUAAAUUUUUGUACCAAUCAAAGUGACCAUCUAGCAAUGGUACCCGAUGAUCGGAUAGGUCGAAUGUGUAGAACAACAUCCUUAAAACCCAUGCGGAU